RNAcentral lists this ribosomal RNA (364 nucleotides) under uncultured bacterium. RNAcentral describes it as "bacterial SSU rRNA". It matches the Rfam family "Bacterial small subunit ribosomal RNA", at positions 28 to 382 of the family's 1533-position model. The record is from RNAcentral.
GAUGAACGCUAGCGGCAGGCUUAAUACAUGCAAGUCGAGGGGCAGCAGGCCCCGACGCAAGUCGGGGUGCUGGCGACCGGCAAACGGGUGCGGAACACGUACACAACCUUCCUUUAAGUGGGGAAUAGCCCAGAGAAAUUUGGAUUAAUACCCCGUAACAUUAUGAUGUGGCAUCACAUUAUACUUAUAGCUCCGGCGCUUAAUGAUGGGUGUGCGGCUGAUUAGGAGUUGGCGGGGUAACGGCCCACCCAAGCCUGCGAUCAGUAACUGGUGUGAGAGCACGACCAGUCACACGGGCACUGAGACACGGGCCCGACUCCUACGGGAGGCAGCAGUAAAGGAAUAUUGGGCAAUGGAGGCAACU